Molecule: ribosomal RNA, 815 nt
Filed under: Boletellus zenghuoxingii
Lineage: Eukaryota; Fungi; Basidiomycota; Agaricomycetes; Boletales; Boletaceae
Description: Boletellus sp. NKZ-2021h partial large subunit ribosomal RNA
Rfam family: Eukaryotic large subunit ribosomal RNA
Source: RNAcentral
UCCCCUAGUAACUGCGAGUGAAGCGGGAAAAGCUCAAAUUUCGAAUCUGGCGGUCCUAGAGGCCGUCCGAGUUGUAAUCUAGAGAAGCGUCUUCCGCGCUGGCCCGUGUACAAGUCUCCUGGAAGGGAGCGUCAUAGAGGGUGAGAAUCCCGUCUUUGACACGGACCACCAGCGCCAUGUGAUCCGCUCUCGACGAGUCGAGUUGUUUGGGAAUGCAGCUCAAAACGGGUGGUAAAUUCCAUCUAAAGCUAAAUACUGGCGAGAGACCGAUAGCGAACAAGUACCGUGAGGGAAAGAUGAAAAGAACUUUGGAAAGAGAGUUAAACAGUACGUGAAAUUGCUGAAAGGGAAACGCUUCAUGUCAGUCGCGUCGGCCCGGGGAUCAACCUUGCGAGCCAUCGCUCGGCGCACUUCCCGGUCGACGGGUCAGCAUCAGUUUCCGUCCUCGUACAAGGCCGAGAGGAACGUGGCACUCUCCGGAGUGUGUUAUAGCCUUUCGUCGUAUGCGUCGCCAGGGACUGAGGUUCUCGGCACCGUCCUUCGGGACGACCGUGUCUAGGAUGCUGGCAUAAUGGCCUCAAGCGACCCGUCUUGAAACACGGACCAAGGAGUCCAACAUGCCUGCGAGUGUUCGGGUCGCAAACCCGUCCGCGAAACGAAAGUGAUCGUCGAGACCUCCCCCACGGAGGGCACCGACGCCCAGACCCGAGUCCUCGACCACGGUCCUGCGGUAGAGCAUGCAUGUUGGGACCCGAAAGAUGGUGAACUAUGCCUGAAUAGGGCGAAGCCAGAGGAAACUCUGGUGGAGGCUCGUA